AAGCACUCAUCCGAAUCGGUUAUGCUCCUGAAAUCAGUCUAUUGCUUGUUUAACUAGUCUGAUUGUGACCUCUACCCUUCACCUGACAGGACAAAGUGGGAAUCACCAGAUGUAGCCCAGCAAUAAGUGAUCCCACCGAAGUCAAAGGGAGCUGCAGUGUGCUUGAGAACAGAAUCUGUCCCCAAGUUAACUCACCUCUUCUGGUCUCUGUUGGUGAUUUUAUAAAAAGGUAAAGUAUGCAG
RNAcentral lists this long non-coding RNA (242 nucleotides) under Dromaius novaehollandiae (emu). RNAcentral's name for it is "lncRNA (ENSDNVG00000006285.1)". Lineage: Eukaryota; Metazoa; Chordata; Aves; Casuariiformes; Dromaiidae. The record is from RNAcentral.